GGCAAUGGCGGCAAGACUAUCCAUGACACGUCGAGCGGUAGAGAGGUGCUUGCACCUCUUGAGAGCGGCGGACGGGUGAGUAAUGCCUAGGAAUCUGCCUGGUAGUGGGGGAUAACGCUCGGAAACGGACGCUAAUACCGCAUACGUCCUACGGGAGAAAGCAGGGGACCUUCGGGCCUUGCGCUAUCAGAUGAGCCUAGGUCGGAUUAGCUAGUUGGUGAGGUAAUGGCUCACCAAGGCGACGAUCCGUAACUGGUCUGAGAGGAUGAUCAGUCACACUGGAACUGAGACACGGUCCAGACUCCUACGGGAGGCAGCAGUGGGGAAUAUUGGACAAUGGGCGAAAGCCUGAUCCAGCCAUGCCGCGUGUGUGAAGAAGGUCUUCGGAUUGUAAAGCACUUUAAGUUGGGAGGAAGGGCAUUAACCUAAUACGUUAGUGUUUUGACGUUACCGACAGAAUAAGCACCGGCUAACUCUGUGCCAGCAGCCGCGGUAAUACAGAGGGUGCAAGCGUUAAUCGGAAUUACUGGGCGUAAAGCGCGCGUAGGUGGUUCGUUAAGUUGGAUGUGAAAUCCCCGGGCUCAACCUGGGAACUGCAUUCAAAACUGUCGAGCUAGAGUAUGGUAGAGGGUGGUGGAAUUUCCUGUGUAGCGGUGAAAUGCGUAGAUAUAGGAAGGAACACCAGUGGCGAAGGCGACCACCUGGACUGAUACUGACACUGAGGUGCGAAAGCGUGGGGAGCAAACAGGAUUAGAUACCCUGGUAGUCCACGCCGUAAACGAUGUCAACUAGCCGUUGGGAGCCUUGAGCUCUUAGUGGCGCAGCUAACGCAUUAAGUUGACCGCCUGGGGAGUACGGCCGCAAGGUUAAAACUCAAAUGAAUUGACGGGGGCCCGCACAAGCGGUGGAGCAUGUGGUUUAAUUCAAAGCAACGCGAAGAACCUUACCAGGCCUUGACAUCCAAUGAACUUUCCAGAGAUGGAUUGGUGCCUUCGGGAACAUUGAGACAGGUGCUGCAUGGCUGUCCUCAGCUCGUGUCGUGAAAUGUUGGGUUAAGUCCCGUAACAAGCGCAACCCUUGCCCUUAGUUACCAGCACGUUAUGGGGGGCACUCUAAAGGAACUGGCCGGGGACAAACCUGAAAGAAGGUGGGGAUGACCGUCAAGU
Molecule: ribosomal RNA, 1166 nt
Filed under: Pseudomonas brassicacearum
Lineage: Bacteria; Pseudomonadati; Pseudomonadota; Gammaproteobacteria; Pseudomonadales; Pseudomonadaceae
Description: bacterial SSU rRNA
Rfam family: Bacterial small subunit ribosomal RNA
Source: RNAcentral